Molecule: long non-coding RNA, 2087 nt
Filed under: Schistocerca americana (American grasshopper)
Lineage: Eukaryota; Metazoa; Arthropoda; Insecta; Orthoptera; Acrididae
Description: uncharacterized LOC124607269, transcript variant X1
Source: RNAcentral
GAUACGACGUGCAAGUGAGUUGUGCAUCCAGUGGCAAUAACAAAGCUCGGGACGAGUGUUCUAAGCAGUUACGUAUUGCGUGUGACGCUUAGCUUGGCAGAAGUUACUGACGCGUACAAUUCAAGUUAAUGUGUAAACGUCGAGCGGUAUAACCUUUAACAGCUGUAUGAACUAUUUAUAUUUCCUCAGGUGUUCAGUGAAAAUCAGUUGUUUUACAACGGAAAAUGAGACGUCGCCACAAGUGUUGCACACGCCUCUAUGCAUAAUCACCGAUUAGUUUUCGACGAAGUGAGUCUUUUCCUUCGUGCAAAACGAAGUUGGAUGUGACAGUGCAGUUGGAUACAGAGGUGGUGGAAGCAGUGCAGUUCCUCUUCAGGUUGCAGUCGAAACUUUUAUAAGAAAAUGAGAUUCAUCAGAUGUAAUGAGAAUGCUGUUACAUUAUGCAAAUUAUUUGGUAACCAAUAUAUGAAGCUGGACUGAUGAGAAUCUUUGUAUCAGAGAAGAGCUUGAAAUGCCACUGGCUGAAAAUAAAUAAAUAAAUAAAUAAGUCUUCACAGACGAAGAAUGAAUGAAAAACACUGUUGCUUCUAACAUGCUGUAAGACUGUGGCAUAUCUUUGGUGCAGGGUCAAAGGGGCUCACGUCAAAACUAUAAACUUUUUUUUGAGGAGAGCUACAGCAAAGACCACAAUCCACUCUAAAAUCCAAAUAGAAACAGAUGAUGCAAAAGGCGACGGCGAUUUGAAUGAACAUUAGCAUGUGAGCCCUAAGGGGUUCAUGAAUCCUUUUCAAGAUAUUUAUCUGGCUAUCACAAGGUUGCAAAUGAGGGCAUGGCUGUUUUGAAGUGCACUGAAAUAUGGUUUUGUAGUGCAAGUGUCUUUUAGAUGAAGUAAUUGAAGAUAACUGGACGAACAUGCAUAUUACUGAAAUCAACUUCCUUUACGCAAUUUGGACUAGUUUUUGUGCAUAUGAAAAGCAAAAUUAAAAAAAGAAAUGUGAAGCUAGUAAUUGAGAAGUCAUGUUGUACGAGUAUAUAAGUGUUGCAGAAACGUGUACGUGAAGCUGCCAAUUCAAAUUUCUUUUUAUGUAGAGAUAUAUGUAUUUUUUAUGUAAAGGUAAAUGUAAUUUUUCCUUCUUUAUUUUAUUUGUAUAUGCUUCCUGUGUAUCUAGUAAGCUGCCAUUUUUGGAGUUGAGUGUACAGUUUAGUAAGAUUUCUGUUUUAAGUGACUUUACGUAUGUGCAAAUUUUGCCUGGAAAUAAUAUCUGGCACUGUGUGAAGAUGUCCUGCAUUUUAUCAGAUCAUCCUUUAUUUUAGCUCAAGUGUUCCCUUGUCCUGACAAAAUACAUACCAGGGCAUAUACUGUCCUGUUUCUCAUUAACUGUCCCUUAUAUUUUGAAAGGUGCAUUUUCAAGAGAGAUGUAGCAUAACCAAAAGGAGAAUAAACGUGGUCAUACCCAAAGAAUAAAGAAAAUACUCCUGUUGAUUAAACCAAACUAAACCAUGGAUGAUUUUUGAAAUCCUUUUGUUGGUACUACUUAAAGCUUUCACAUGGCAAGCAGUUCAUCACUUCCACUUUCUUUGUGCAUUGCCUAUUGCUUCAGCUCACCACAUUUAAAAAUGUGGUUUUAAUGGAUUUAAAGAGUCACAUCUAACCUUACUUGAUGUUGCAUAUUGCAAACAUUUCAUAUAAAUGCCAAAAAGAAAGUACAUAUUUACUGACUAAAGCUAAGUUUCCAUUUCUGAAAUUAGAAUAGUAAAGCGAUAACGUAUUUUGCACAUUGUGUAAAAGUACUUCUUGAGUCUACAAUGGGAGUCAAUAUGAUGUUCUGCAAUACACUUUGUCACAAAGUAUGAUGUCUUUUUGCACAAAACAUGAGAAUAGUGUCACUGCAAAAGAAGAAGAAAAUCAUCUCACUGCUGAGGGAGCUUCAGUAGCUUUUCAUGCAAUGUAAUGAAACAUCGUGUGGCGAGGGCCUCCCGGCGGGUAGACCUGAUCGCCUGGUUCAAGUCUUUUGAGGUGACAUCACUCUUCAGCGACUUGCACAUCGAUGAGGAUGAAAUGGUGAUGAUGGAGAUGACAGUAACAC